AUUUAGGUAGUGCCUCGCGUUUGACUGCUGGGGGUAGAGCACUGUGUCGGCUAGGGGGUCAUCCCGACUUACCAACCCGAUGCAAACUCCGAAUACCAGUAAGUAUUAUCGCGGGAGACAGACAGCGGGUGCUAACGUCCGUUGUCGAGAGGGCAACAACCCAGACCACCAGCUAAGGUCCCUAAUAUCAGUUAAGUGGGAAACGAUGUGGGAAGGCUAAGACAGCUAGGAGGUUGGCUUAGAAGCAGCCACCCUUUAAAGAAAGCGUAAUAGCUCACUAGUCGAGUCGGCCUGCGCGGAAGAUGUAACGGGGCUAAGCAAUAUACCGAAGCUGCGGAUGUGCAUUUAUUUGUACAUGGUAGGGGAGCGUUGUGUAAGUGGUUGAAGGUGAGCUGUGAGGCUUGCUGGACAUAUCACAAGUGCGAAUGCUGACAUGAGUAACGAUAAUGGGGGUGAAAAACCCCCACGCCGGAAGACCAAGGUUUCCUGUCCCAUGCUAAUCAGGGCAGGGUAAGUCGGCCCCUAAGGCGAGGCAGAAAUGCGUAGUCGAUGGGAAACGGAUUAAUAUUUCCGUACUUGGUAUAUCAGUGAAGGGGGGACGGAGAAGGCUAAGCAAGCUUGGUGUUGGUUAUCCAAGUGAAAGUGUGUAGGGCGUUGAAUUAGGUAAAUCCGGUUCAACACUAACCUGAGACACGAGACGAGUUUCUAAGGAAACGAAGUUGUUGAUGCCAUGCUUCCAGGAAAAGCCUCUAAACUUAUGAUAUAUCGAACCGUACCCCAAACCGACACAGGUGGUCAGGUAGAGAAUACCAAGGCGCUUGAGAGAACUUGGGUGAAGGAACUAGGCAAAAUGGUACCGUAACUUCGGGAGAAGGUACGCCG
Molecule: ribosomal RNA, 882 nt
Filed under: Tripos fusus
Lineage: Eukaryota; Dinophyceae; Gonyaulacales; Ceratiaceae
Description: partial Bacterial large subunit ribosomal RNA
Rfam family: Bacterial large subunit ribosomal RNA
Source: RNAcentral